UACGUAGGGUGCAAGCGUUGUCCGGAAUUAUUGGGCGUAAAGAGCUCGUAGGCGGUUUGUCGCGUCUGCUGUGAAACCAGAAGCUCAACUUCUGGCCUGCAGUGGGUACGGGCAAACUAGAGUGCGGUAGGGGAGAACGGAAUUCCUGGUGUAGCGGUGGAAUGCGCAGAUAUCAGGAGGAACACCGAUGGCGAAGGCAGUUCUCUGGGCCGUUACUGACGCUGAGGAGCGAAAGCGUGGGGAGCGAACAGG
RNAcentral lists this ribosomal RNA (252 nucleotides) under uncultured bacterium. RNAcentral's name for it is "partial 16S ribosomal RNA". It matches the Rfam family "Bacterial small subunit ribosomal RNA", at positions 524 to 776 of the family's 1533-position model. The record is from RNAcentral.